Molecule: long non-coding RNA, 767 nt
Organism: Girardinichthys multiradiatus
Lineage: Eukaryota; Metazoa; Chordata; Actinopteri; Cyprinodontiformes; Goodeidae
Exons: 3
Source: RefSeq, a predicted model, not a curated record
CAAAUAAUAACAACUGUAAUAUUGAGUAUUUCUACUAUGACUCAAAGAAACCAAACUGUCCUUUUACUUCAGCGAUCAUAAACACAGUGGAAAACACCAGGGUCCCGUUUAAAAAGCGGGGUUACCUAGCAACCUAGACCAUCAUGCCAACGAGGUAACUUUGGUUGAGUCAAAGCCGCGUGGAGUUGAGCAUGAGCGCGAGUGAAUAAGAAGCCCUGACCAACAGAUUCACCAUGGCAACGACAGUAAGAAGCCUCGAAGUGCGCAAUAUUAAUGACCGCGUAGGGAGAACAUCGUAUUUAAGAAGAAAAGCAAAACUGUCGCUGCUGCAAAAAAGCAGAGACCAAGUCAGUGCGUGCAACCCAGCAGGCACAAAAAGGACGUGGCAGCAAAUAAAUAUGAAAUAUAAACAUCCAGUUAAAUCAGCUCCCUGUGAAACAGCUGUACAAGGUGUACUUUCAACAAAACGUGGAAUCAGAAAGGAAGACCUGAAAAUCAGGUAUAGAAACUGAAAAAAAAAAAUGCAUUGGAUUUACUCAAUGCAAUAGUGGACAUUGGUUGCACACAAUGUUUUUACUUUGGCAACAAUCUACACUGUUGUGUUCAUUUAACACAAAUUUGUUAUAUUCAGUAAACACAAGUAUUUUAUGUUGCUACAAAAUGAUUAAAAUGUGUUUGAAUAAAUUAAGUUCUGCAAUCAUUUCACUUUUGUCAUUUGACUUCAACACAACUCAAUCAUUUUAUUACAACACAAUUUGAUUACUUAA